Molecule: ribosomal RNA, 440 nt
Filed under: uncultured bacterium
Lineage: Bacteria
Description: partial 16S ribosomal RNA
Rfam family: Bacterial small subunit ribosomal RNA
Source: RNAcentral
CCUACGGGAGGCAGCAGUGGGGAAUAUUGCACAAUGGGGGAAACCCUGAUGCAGCGACGCCGCGUGAGUGAAGACGUAUUUCGGUACGUAAAGCUCUAUCAGCAGGGAAGAAAAUGACGGUACCUGACUAAGAAGCCCCGGCUAACUACGUGCAAGCAGCCGCGGUAACACGGAGGGGGGAAGCGUUAUCCGGAUUUACUGGGUGUAAAGGGCGCGUAGACGGCAGCGCAAGUCUGGAGUGAAAUCGCAUGGCUUAACCAUGGAACUGCUUUGGAAACUGUGCAGCUAGAGUGCGGGAGAGGUAAGCGGAAUUCCUAGUGUAGCGGUGAAAUGCGUAGAUAUUAGGAGGAACACCAGUGGCGAAGGCGGCUUACUGGACUGUAACUGACGUUGAGGCUCGAAAGCGUGGGGAGCGAACAGGAUUAGAUACCCUUGUAGUC